UGGGGAAUCUUGCACAAUGGGGGCAACCCUGAUGCAGCGACGCCGCGUGAGCGAUGAAGCCCUUCGGGGCGUAAAGCUCUUUCGACCGGAACGAUAAUGACGGUACCGGGAGAAGAAGCUGCGGCUAACUACGUGCCAGCAGCCGCGGUAAUACGUAGGCAGCAAGCGUUGUUCGGAGUCACUGGGCGUAAAGAGUGCGUAGGCGGUUUUCUAAGUUCGGUGUGAAAUCUCCCGGCUUAACUGGGAGGGUGCGCCGAAGACUGGGAAGCUGGAGUGUGGGAAAGGCAGGCGGAAUUCCUGGUGUAGCGGUGAAAUGCGUAGAUAUCAGGAGGAACACCGGCGGUGUAGACGGCUUGCUAGACCAUAACUGACGCUGAGGCACGAAAGCGUGGGUAGCAAACA
Molecule: ribosomal RNA, 402 nt
Filed under: uncultured bacterium
Lineage: Bacteria
Description: bacterial SSU rRNA
Rfam family: Bacterial small subunit ribosomal RNA
Source: RNAcentral